RNAcentral lists this ribosomal RNA (465 nucleotides) under Vreelandella stevensii. Its description in RNAcentral is "partial 16S ribosomal RNA". It matches the Rfam family "Bacterial small subunit ribosomal RNA", at positions 338 to 795 of the family's 1533-position model. Lineage: Bacteria; Pseudomonadati; Pseudomonadota; Gammaproteobacteria; Oceanospirillales; Halomonadaceae. The record is from RNAcentral.
CCUACGGGAGGCUGCAGUGGGGAAUAUUGGACAAUGGAGGGAACCCUGAUCCAGCCAUGCCGCGUGUGUGAAGAAGGCCCUCGGGUUGUAAAGCACUUUCAGUGAGGAAGAACGCCUGGUGGUUAAUACCCAUCAGGAAAGACAUCACUCACAGAAGAAGCACCGGCUAACUCCGUGCCAGCAGCCGCGGUAAUACGGAGGGUGCGAGCGUUAAUCGGAAUUACUGGGCGUAAAGCGCGCGUAGGUGGCUUGAUAAGCCGGUUGUGAAAGCCCCGGGCUCAACCUGGGAACGGCAUCCGGAACUGUCAAGCUAGAGUGCAGGAGAGGAAGGUAGAAUUCCCGGUGUAGCGGUGAAAUGCGUAGAGAUCGGGAGGAAUACCAGUGGCGAAGGCGGCCUUCUGGACUGACACUGACACUGAGGUGCGAAAGCGUGGGUAGCAAACAGGAUUAGAUACCCCGGUAGUC